ACGUCGUUGAGCACCUCGGGAGUGUACUUGACCGAACGAACGGGGGUGCGCGACGGGGGCGACGCGCGGCCGUCGUCCCCGCUCGCCGGCGGAACGCGGGAGAGCAGCCGCGACGACACGUAACUCGCCUCCACCGUGUACAGGUGCGGCAGUCCCGUCUUGGCGUGUAACGCCACCCGACCGCUCCCUUCCUUGGUCUGACCGUUCUUGUCCUGCGUCCUCAUGUUCUUCUCGGUGAAGUUGCACGCGUGCACGUCGAAGUGCGGGGUGUUGAGCGAGCACAGCCUGGCGUACGCAAAGCCGGCGGCGGCGUCGUCGCCGUCGAGAGCGUUGCCAAACGCGAAAACACCUCUCUUGUUCAUGUGCCCGUGCAGGUCCAAGUAAAAACC
RNAcentral lists this long non-coding RNA (389 nucleotides) under Micromonas commoda. RNAcentral describes it as "long non-coding RNA (MCOM_LNC000303)". The record is from RNAcentral. Lineage: Eukaryota; Viridiplantae; Chlorophyta; Mamiellophyceae; Mamiellales; Mamiellaceae.